CGCUAGUUUCGGUGGAGCCGUCCUUGAAAUACCACCCUGGUUUGUUUGAGGUUCUAACCUUGGCCCGUGAUCCGGGUCGGGGACAGUGCAUGGUAGGCAGUUUGACUGGGGCGGUCUCCUCCCAAAGCGUAACGGAGGAGUACGAAGGUACGCUAGGUACGGUCGGAAAUCGUGCUGAUAGUGCAAUGGCAUAAGCGUGCUUAACUGCGAGACCGACAAGUCGAGCAGGUGCGAAAGCAGGUCAUAGUGAUCCGGUGGUUCUGUAUGGAAGGGCCAUCGCUCAACGGAUAAAAGGUACUCUGGGGAUAACAGGCUGAUACCGCCCAAGAGUUCAUAUCGACGGCGGUGUUUGGCACCUCGAUGUCGGCUCAUCUCAUCCUGGGGCUGUAGCCGGUCCCAAGGGUAUGGCUGUUCGCCAUUUAAAGAGGUACGUGAGCUGGGUUUAAAACGUCGUGAGACAGUUUGGUCCCUAUCUGCCGUGGGCGUUGGAUAUUUGAAGGGGGCUGCUCCUAGUACGAGAGGACCGGAGUGGACGAACCUCUGGUGUACCGGUUGUCACGCCAGUGGCAUCGCCGGGUAGCUAUGUUCGGAAGAGAUAACCGCUGAAAGCAUCUAAGCGGGAAACUCGCCUUAAGAUGAGAUAUCCCUGGGGACUAGAUCCCCUUGAAGGGUCGUUCGAGACCAGGACGUUGAUAGGUCAGGUGUGUAAGCGCAGUAAUGCGUUCAGCUAACUGAUACUAAUUGCCCGUAAGGCUUGAUCCUAUAACA
This 768-nucleotide ribosomal RNA is filed under the name Burkholderia cenocepacia. RNAcentral describes it as "bacterial LSU rRNA". It matches the Rfam family "Bacterial large subunit ribosomal RNA", at positions 2169 to 2925 of the family's 2925-position model. The record is from RNAcentral. Lineage: Bacteria; Pseudomonadati; Pseudomonadota; Betaproteobacteria; Burkholderiales; Burkholderiaceae.